This 4491-nucleotide long non-coding RNA is filed under the name Gossypium barbadense (sea-island cotton). Its description in RNAcentral is "long non-coding RNA (GBAR_LNC011401)". The record is from RNAcentral. Lineage: Eukaryota; Viridiplantae; Streptophyta; Magnoliopsida; Malvales; Malvaceae.
AGGCUCAAAUUUAGUUCAAAAGGGGUUAUGAAAUGUAUUGAGGAUGAUAGGUGAAUGAAAACCAAGUAUUCAAGUUGAACCAACACAAUAUAAGUGUGUUAACCCGGGACUUAUACGAAUACUUAGGAAAGGUUAAAUGUUGUAUGGAUGGAAAACGAAUAAAAUGGAACCUUGACCCACUAUCAAAGAUGAUAGGAACCUCGGUAUAACUUGAACGCCACACUUUUGGGAUUAAAGUGAUAAGUUCGGAUAGAAAGACGGAUGACGCCACAAGGGUUACUUGAUAAGUCAGACGAGUCUUUGGAGAACAAUGAGAGUUGAAAAAACACUCACAAAGUAAUCAUAUAUCAUAUAAGAUUCAAAAGUAUAUUGUCUAACCCGAAAAUGAUUACAAAGCAACUAUUUAUAGCUAAUAUUGAAUGUCAAACCGAAUGGUCACAAAAGGUAGAUAAAUGGACAGUUUUAGUUCAGCUUAAUUAAGUUGAAAUUGCUUGGAAGCUUCCUUAAUUGUCCCUUGUAGUUUCCUAGGUCUCUUGGGUUAGAAAUCUAAAAAGAAAUAACUUCUAGAAUGAGAGGAUUCGGCUGGACAUUGAUGGAGAACUUUAUGGACUAGUCCCGAUUCGGCCUUGAUACUUUAAAAUGGCUUUAAAAGCUUCUUUGGGUAGUGUAAAGUUCGGCCUUGAAGAGAGGAAACGCCAAGCAUGAUGUUGGCCGAAUGGCUACUUGGAAAAACCAACCAACAGCCCUUUGUUGUUCACGAAAAUAGCACCUACUUCAGCACCUCAUUAAUGGACGAAUCUUGCAUGCCCAACAGCACCUUAAAUGCAUGUCUAUGCUUUACAUUAAAUUCGGCCAACACCUCCUUUAUUGCUGCUGUUGAACACGAAAAAAAAAUUAACUCAGCAGCUAGUUAAUGCCAUGCAUGCAAGCUCCAGCAACUAAUUAAUGCCGUCCAUGCAUGGGAACACCUCAUUUAAUUCAUGUCUUUGCUUCCCUUUAAAUGCCGUUCCUUGCAUGUAGAACAGCAACUUAAAUGCAUGUCUCCUUUGCCAUUAAGUAGUUGUUUCCAGCUGAAUUAAUUACCUGCAGACACAAAAUAAAUUCGGUCAAGACAUAAAUUAAACCUCAUUAAAUUCGGCAGCCUCCUUUAAUACAUAAUUAACUCAUGCAUGAAACAAACAAGUUAAUUAACAUAUUAAUUUUGGUUGGACAAUAAAAACAACAAUAAAUUCGUCACUUUUAAAGAACUUAAAACACAUUUAAUACUACUCUUUAAUUCGGCUGAAACUAAUAAAAAACAUUAAUAAAUUCAGCAUAUUAAAUAGAUGUAAUAAAUAAAACACAAUCAAUUAAACUAAAAAAAUUAUUAAAGAUGUUCUGAUUUAAACAUAUUAAUUUACUAACACUUAUUUGAGCUGAAUUAAAUAAAUAAACUAACUUAUUCAAUUUAUUUCAGCAAAUGAAAUCAAAAGAAUUAAAAUAAACUCAAAUUGAGCAAAACGAUCCCAUUGAGCUGGAAACGAGCUAAACAAAGCUCAGUGAGAUGAACCACACGAAAAGAAAUUCAAAUGAGCUAAAAAUUAGCUUCAUCUUGCACUUGGGGCCCUCAUGUUUAGGCCAAUCUCGACGGCGUUGGGUUGUGACAUUACAUGAUGCGAUCAGGAUCACAUCAUACCCUCCCUCUUGAAGACGAUUUGUCCUCAAAUCGGGCCACUUGCUCGAAAAAAAAAAUUUUCAAGAUCUCGAACCCUUUUGUGCAUGACCCGAAUAGAAUCAUUUCCAAAACUUUGAAAAUCACGAAUGGUUAGAGAAAAUUUUGAAUUAUUUCCACGCCCUCCCUCUUUUGGAGGGAACCAAUUUAGAGUGUCACCUACACGAGAAUGAAAGGAAUUAGAGACACUAAAAAUUAUAAAAACAAAUGAUCUUUUUAGAUGCUUAUUCAAAAUUGGGAUGCUUAACCCAAUGCCAGGAUCAAAAAUGAAAUUCGGUCUUACCUUUCCAAAAUGAAUCAAAAAUUUCAUGGAUAGAAACAAAUCCGAACCACAAAACAGUCGAAAGGCAUAAUCUCGAAAGUCAAAAUUGCAAAAUCCAAACCCUUUUAACAAGAACAAAGAAUAAUAAUCUCCGGGGUCAAAAACGAAGCUUCCUCUUGCUUGGCUUGACGUUAACUUAGGAAUGUAUAUCCCAGGUUUAAAAACGCGAUUUUCAUUGGUCGUUUCGCAACGUAACGAAAAUUUCUUCUUCACCAAGACUUCACACAUGUCAAGCAAAUAGGAGUUAGGCAUACAUACAUUCGAGCAAUCAAACCCUUCAUAUUUCAUUCGCACACGUAAACAAGAAAAGUUCACACCACAAUUUAGAUAAUUCACAUGAUCAUCACAAGCAAACAGAUUAGAUGUCAACUUUUCAUCACACAAUCCCAAUUUUUCUUUGGGCUUACCUGGACUUACUUCUUGAUCAAUCUUGACAAUGAUAGGCUUAUGAGCAGAAAGAUAUUUCACAUUACUAUGUAAAACACAUUUAUCAACAAUCAAAUUAUGAUUUCCAAUCAGAUCAAGAUGAAAAACUUUCUCAUAAACUAAGUCUUUGCUAAUCUCGUCAUCAAGAAUCAAGUAAGAUUGAGAAGACUCAAAUACAGUAGAUCCCUUACAUGGCUUACCUUUAAGCACUUGUGGACUAGGGUCAUCUACGAUCUUACCUUUCUCGACUAAUCGAAAUCGUUUCUCCUUAGAAAAUUAUUGAAGUUGAAAUUGAUCGAUAGGAUUUCGAGAAACCUGAAAAGUAGAAACAAAACAAGGAAAAUUCAUAGGAUGGUUAGUAACAACACUCCUUUCUUUUUCACUUUCAUCCUUUUCAUUUCUUUCUUUUUCCAACUCAUUUUCAAAUCCUCUUUCUUUUACCAUAUCACUCAUUUCUUUUGCACUCUCGUUUCUUCCUUCAAUCUCACUCUCUUUUUCGGUUUCCUUUUCUUUUUCGCACUCGUUUUUAUUCUCAAUCUCAUUUUCAAUUUUCUUUUCUAUCUCCCACUCAUCUUCUUUUUCUUUCAUUUCUUUUUCAUGUUCAUUUUCUCGUUCGCACUCUUUUUCUUUUUCUUUUUCACAUGCUAUUUCAAUUCCAUUACAAAAGUAGAAAUCAUAAAAAUGAGAAGCCUUUCGUUGAGAAUAAGAAAAGGAUUCUUCAUACAAAUGGCAAUCUUCUCUUUGUGAUAGAUCUUCCGUAGCCAAGUAUUUUGACACUCUUGAAACACGUGCACCUCUUCGUAAAUAAUCCUUUGUAGAUGAAUAAAUUGAGGCACUUGUAGAGACACGUUUACUUUUUUGUUUAUCAUCUCGGAAGGACUCAAACUCGGAGUUUGCUUCUCUUGGUCUCGAACGCCUUGUUGAAUAGAAGUCUUGAUAAGAGUCUCUUGUCGAGUAGUAUCGUUGUGACGAUCUUUUCUUCGUCUCUUGACUUGAAGAAAUUUGCUCCCGUUGGAAUCGUUCAUCCAACUUCUUCAAUCGUUCUUUAAUUGGUUCCAAUUUUCUUUGAAGCAUUUGACCCACCUCGUGAAUAAUCGUUUGAUAUGUUGGGUCGAUCAAAACAUCGUCAUAUUCUUCAUCAUCAAUCCCUUCAAAACUUCUUGACAUCUUUUUUUUUUAAUCACACAACAAAACUCACACUUCUCUCACACAAAAAAAAAUUCACACUAUUUGGCUUUUACUUCUCUCGAAUGGUCUCACCAAUCGCUCUUGCCUUUUUCCACUCGAUUUUCACCCCUCAAAGUUCUUCGCAAACUAAGUCGACAAAUCAAUACCGUUUGGCGUCGGCUUACAAAAUUGAUUUGGCUUGGUGGGUAAUGAUGUCGGAAAUGGUAGGCUAUCAAACAAAAUAGGAAUGGUUAAGUGUGGCUAUAUAGAUAUGGUCCUUCGGGCAACAAGCAAUGCUUUUACAAACCCAAAAUGAAUUUCAAUCACUCUUUUUUUUUUCAAUUUCGAUUUUUUUUCUUUUUUUUUUAAUUCUGAAUUUUUUCUUCUUCUUCUUUUUUCUUCAAUACUAAAUACAAAAAGUAAAAAUAAAUUGAAUACAAACUUUUUUUUUGAAUUUUUUUUCGAAUUUUUUUUUCAAGUUUUUUUUUAUUUUUUUACAAUACCGUAAUACCGAUAACAUCGAUCUUACUUCAAUUCAGCUAGCUCUGAUACCAAAUGAUGUACCCUGGCUCAGGAAGGAGAGUCGAGUCGUAGAUGUGCCCGAUCGUGAAUUGGAGUAAUACUCGAGGGUGAACGAAAUAGGUUAAGAAAGAAGAGAUAAAGGCUCAAAUUUAAUUCAAAAGGGGUUAUGAAAUGUAUUGAGGAUGAUAGGUGAAUGAAAACCAAGUAUUCAAGUUGAACCAACACAAUAUAAGUGUGUUAACCCGAGACUUAUACGAAUACUUAGGAAAGGUUAAAUGUUGUAUGGAUGGAAAACGAAUAAAAUGGAACCUUGACCCACUAUCAAAGAUGAUAGGAACCUCGG